AACAAGGUUUCCGUAGGUGUGUUUGCCUACGGUCUUGGGCCGCGACUUUGGAAAAAAAAAUAACGGUAUAGUCUGUUAGCAGGCAACAUCUCUACUGUGCUAGGAACCCUAACCGGUAACUAGCAGCUCGGAUUCGAGUUCACAGGUCAAAUAGAGGUGGCCCAUCAUUGGGUUAAGAUAUGAUCGGACUUAUUUAUAGAUAACUAAGAGAAUUGGAACCUGCGGAAGGAUCAUUAGAGAAUUUUGCCCGAAACCUGUUUACAGGUGACAGACAAACUCACCACCCUUUGUUUACAUUAUCUUUGUUGCUUUAGCAGGCCCGCUCUUGGGCCGCCGGCUUUUGCUGGUCAGCGCCUGCUAGAGGACCUAAAACUCUUAAUAAUAUUGUCUGAGUACUAUAUAAUAGUUAAAACUUUCAACAACGGAUCUCUUGGUUCUGGCAUCGAUGAAGAACGCAGCGAAAUGCGAUAAGUAAUGUGAAUUGCAGAAUUCAGUGAACCAUCGAAUCUUUGAACGCACAUUGCGCCCUCUGGUAUUCCGGGGGGCAUGCCUGUUCGAGCGUCAUUACAACCCUCAAGCUCUGCUUGGUAUUAGGGCUUGCCUGCUAGCAGGUAGCCUGUAAAAUCAGUGGCGGUGCCAUUCGGCUUCUAGCGUAGUAAUUUUUUCUCGCUUUGGAGUAUCGAUUGUAUGCCUGCCAGUAACCCCAAUUUAUCAAAGGUUGACCUCGGAUCAGGUAGGGAUACCCGCUGAACUUAAGCAUA
Molecule: ribosomal RNA, 761 nt
Filed under: ascomycete sp. CD-2008a
Lineage: Eukaryota; Fungi; Ascomycota
Description: eukaryotic LSU rRNA
Rfam family: 5.8S ribosomal RNA (bases 411-564)
Source: RNAcentral